Molecule: small RNA, 28 nt
Filed under: Bombyx mori (domestic silkworm)
Lineage: Eukaryota; Metazoa; Arthropoda; Insecta; Lepidoptera; Bombycidae
Description: ovarian small RNA-38012
Source: RNAcentral
UUGGAUUACAUUUACUAACGUGUGAACC